RNAcentral lists this long non-coding RNA (543 nucleotides) under Patiria miniata (bat star). RNAcentral describes it as "uncharacterized LOC119726579". Lineage: Eukaryota; Metazoa; Echinodermata; Asteroidea; Valvatida; Asterinidae. The record is from RNAcentral.
UUAUGUUGUGUAAAACUGUUGUGUAAAAAAAUUGCGUCAUUUCUGCCCAAUAUUGAGCAAAAUGACAAUUUCGCUUGUACCUCCUACUUGUGUCAAAUGUGUUACACAUGAAAAGGGUAAAAUAGUACCCAACAUUGACUACAAGUCCCUGCAGCACAGGCAAAGAGUUCAAAUCAUGGUGUUAUUACCCAAGUGAUGGGUUAAAGAAACUGGAUUUACCCCACCGCUGUGUAACAAUUAUUUCAUUGCACACGUUGAAGAGUAGAAUUUACCAUGACAUUAGUAAAAUGUUACCACUGUGUGGGGUAAACUGACGCACGUGACAAUGUUUACCCAAUAUUGUGCACGCGUCAUCACUCAUGUACAAUAUGGCCGCCGCUUGUGAGACCUUCAACAAUUUGGGGAUUUUGAUGACGUGAUUUCUUUGUUCCAGGACUCAGUUAUUGAAAUCCCUCGCGAUUGCUGUCUCUAGCAUGCAAUUCACAUUGCAGAGUUCAAAGUUGAAUAAAACCGCAAGGAUCAAUAACAAAGGUACACAACAAC